UGGGGAAUUUUGGACAAUGGGCGAAAGCCUGAUCCAGCAAUGCCGCGUGUGUGAAGAAGGCCUUCGGGUUGUAAAGCACUUUUGUCCGGAAAGAAAUCCUUGGCUCUAAUACAGUCGGGGGAUGACGGUACCGGAAGAAUAAGCACCGGCUAACUACGUGCCAGCAGCCGCGGUAAUACGUAGGGUGCAAGCGUUAAUCGGAAUUACUGGGCGUAAAGCGUGCGCAGGCGGUUUGCUAAGACCGAUGUGAAAUCCCCGGGCUCAACCUGGGAACUGCAUUGGUGACUGGCAGGCUAGAGUAUGGCAGAGGGGGGUAGAAUUCCACGUGUAGCAGUGAAAUGCGUAGAGAUGUGGAGGAAUACCGAUGGCGAAGGCAGCCCCCUGGGCCAAUACUGACGCUCAUGCACGAAAGCGUGGGGAGCAAACAGGAUUAGAUACCCUGGUGGUCCACGCCCUAAACGAUGUCAACUAGUUGUUGGGGAUUCAUUUCCUUAGUAACGUGAGCUAACGCGUGAAGUUGACCGCCUGGGGGAGUACGGUCGCAAGAUUAAAACUCAAAUGAAUUGACGGGGUCAU
This 576-nucleotide ribosomal RNA is filed under the name uncultured bacterium. RNAcentral describes it as "partial 16S ribosomal RNA". It matches the Rfam family "Bacterial small subunit ribosomal RNA", at positions 355 to 922 of the family's 1533-position model. The record is from RNAcentral.